CUGCUGCACAAAUUGGCAGCUCUCAAAGUGAAUUGUUUAUCUUUUUUUUUUUGCAAAUUUCAAAUCCAUUGACACAUUUUCCAACAAGUUGGCAGCACAGCGUAGAGAGGAAGAAAAAGAGUGUUCUUCAGUUUUUAGUUUUUCCACAGCGACGUGUAUGGCAAACGAAAUGACAACUAAAGACAGCGUCGCACGACUUGUGACCAAAGCACAAAUCACUGAGAACACUUUUUUUUCUUUUUUUUUUUUGCUGCCGUCUUUUUUAUUGGCCACGCCCCCUGCCCCGGUCACCUCCCCUGGCAA
Long non-coding RNA from Drosophila sulfurigaster albostrigata, 303 nucleotides. RefSeq lists it as uncharacterized. The transcript has 2 exons. The record is from RefSeq and is a predicted model, not a curated record. NCBI's taxonomy places the organism in Eukaryota, Metazoa, Arthropoda, Insecta, Diptera, Drosophilidae.